CAGUCGCCACGGGAAUACGAAGGGGGCUAGCGUUGUUCGGAUUUACUGGGCGUAAAGGGCGCGUAGGCAGAUUUGUAAGUCAGGGGUGAAAUCCCGAGGCUCAACCUCGGAACUGCCUUUGAUACUGUGGAUCUUGAGUCCGGGAGAGGUGAGUGGAACUGCGAGUGUAGAGGUGAAAUUCGUAGAUAUUGGGAAGAACACCGGUGGCGAAGGCGGCGACCUGGUCCUUUACUGACGCUGAGGCGCGAAAGCGUGGGGAGCAAACAGGAUUAGAUACCCGGGUAGUCCCUGUCUCUUAUAC
Molecule: ribosomal RNA, 301 nt
Filed under: uncultured bacterium
Lineage: Bacteria
Description: partial 16S ribosomal RNA
Rfam family: Bacterial small subunit ribosomal RNA
Source: RNAcentral